This 119-nucleotide ribosomal RNA is filed under the name Triticum aestivum (bread wheat). Lineage: Eukaryota; Viridiplantae; Streptophyta; Magnoliopsida; Poales; Poaceae. The record is from RNAcentral.
GGAUGCGAUCAUACCAGCACUAAAGCAACGAAUCCCAUCAGAACUCCGAAGUUAAGCGUGCUUGGGCGAGAGUAGUACUAGGAUGGGUGACCUCGUGGAAAAUCCUCCUGUUGCAUUCC